RNAcentral lists this ribosomal RNA (266 nucleotides) under uncultured Staphylococcus sp. RNAcentral describes it as "partial 16S ribosomal RNA". It matches the Rfam family "Bacterial small subunit ribosomal RNA", at positions 96 to 354 of the family's 1533-position model. The record is from RNAcentral. Lineage: Bacteria; Bacillati; Bacillota; Bacilli; Caryophanales; Staphylococcaceae.
CGGCGGACGGGUGAGUAACACGUGGAUAACCUACCUAUAAGACUGGGAUAACUUCGGGAAACCGGAGCUAAUACCGGAUAAUAUUUUGAACCGCAUGGUUCAAAAGUGAAAGACGGUCUUGCUGUCACUUAUAGAUGGAUCCGCGCUGCAUUAGCUAGUUGGUAAGGUAACGGCUUACCAAGGCAACGAUGCAUAGCCGACCCGAGAGGGUGAUCGGCCACACUGGAACUGAGACACGGUCCAGACUCCUACGGGAGGCAGCAGGG